GAUGAACGCUGGCGGCGUGCUUAACACAUGCAAGUCGAACGAUGAACCUCACUUGUGGGGGGAUUAGUGGCGAACGGGUGAGUAACACGUGAGUAACCUGCCCUUGACUCUGGGAUAAGCCUGGGAAACCGGGUCUAAUACUGGAUACGACCUUCUGGCGCAUGCCAUGUUGGUGGAAAGCUUUUGUGGUUUUGGAUGGACUCGCGGCCUAUCAGCUUGUUGGUGGGGUAAUGGCCUACCAAGGCGACGACGGGUAGCCGGCCUGAGAGGGUGACCGGCCACACUGGGACUGAGACACGGCCCAGACUCCUACGGGAGGCAGCAGUGGGGAAUAUUGCACAAUGGGCGCAAGCCUGAUGCAGCGACGCCGCGUGAGGGAUGAAGGCCUUCGGGUUGUAAACCUCUUUCAGUAGGGAAGAAGCCGGCCUUUGGGUUGGUGACGGUACCUGCAGAAGAAGCGCCGGCUAACUACGUGCCAGCAGCCGCGGUAAUACGUAGGGCGCAAGCGUUAUCCGGAAUUAUUGGGCGUAAAGAGCUCGUAGGCGGUUUGUCGCGUCUGCCGUGAAAGUCCGGGGCUUAACCCCGGAUCUGCGGUGGGUACGGGCAGACUAGAGUGCAGUAGGGGAGACUGGAAUUCCUGGUGUAGCGGUGAAAUGCGCAGAUAUCAGGAGGAACACCGAUGGCGAAGGCAGGUCUCUGGGCUGUAACUGACGCUGAGGAGCGAAAGCAUGGGGAGCGAACAGGAUUAGAUACCCUGGUAGUCCAUGCCGUAAACGUUGGGCACUAGGUGUGGGGGACAUUCCACGUUUUCCGCGCCGUAGCUAACGCAUUAAGUGCCCCGCCUGGGGAGUACGGCCGCAAGGCUAAAACUCAAAGGAAUUGAUGGGGGCCCGCACAAGCGGCGGAGCAUGCGGAUUAAUUCGAUGCAACGCGAAGAACCUUACCAAGGCUUGACAUGAACCGGAAUGAUGCAGAGAUGUGUCAGCCACUUGUGGCCGGUUUACAGGUGGUGCAUGGUUGUCGUCAGCUCGUGUCGUGAGAUGUUGGGUUAAGUCCCGCAACGAGCGCAACCCUCGUUCCAUGUUGCCAGCGGGUUAUGCCGGGGACUCAUGGGAGACUGCCGGGGUCAACUCGGAGGAAGGUGGGGACGACGUCAAAUCAUCAUGCCCCUUAUGUCUUGGGCUUCACGCAUGCUACAAUGGCCGGUACAAAGGGUUGCGAUACUGUGAGGUGGAGCUAAUCCCAAAAAGCCGGUCUCAGUUCGGAUUGAGGUCUGCAACUCGACCUCAUGAAGUUGGAGUCGCUAGUAAUCGCAGAUCAGCAACGCUGCGGUGAAUACGUUCCCGGGCCU
This 1351-nucleotide ribosomal RNA is filed under the name uncultured bacterium. Its description in RNAcentral is "bacterial SSU rRNA". It matches the Rfam family "Bacterial small subunit ribosomal RNA", at positions 28 to 1381 of the family's 1533-position model. The record is from RNAcentral.